This 113-nucleotide ribosomal RNA is filed under the name Crocodylus porosus (Australian saltwater crocodile). Lineage: Eukaryota; Metazoa; Chordata; Crocodylia; Crocodylidae. The record is from RNAcentral.
AGUUAUGCCAGACUGAAUCCACAUGUUCUGAUCUGAUCUUUGAAGAUAAGCAGUCCUAUACCUAUCUAGUACUUGGAUGGGAAACCACUCUAAAACCUUUGAUGCCAUAGAUA